RNAcentral lists this ribosomal RNA (253 nucleotides) under uncultured bacterium. RNAcentral describes it as "partial 16S ribosomal RNA". It matches the Rfam family "Bacterial small subunit ribosomal RNA", at positions 524 to 776 of the family's 1533-position model. The record is from RNAcentral.
UACGUAGGGCGCAAGCGUUGUCCGGAAUUAUUGGGCGUAAAGAGCUCGUAGGCGGUUUGUCGCGUCUGCUGUGAAAACUCGGGGCUUAACCCCGGGCCUGCAGUGGGUACGGGCAGACUAGAGUGCGGUAGGGGAGACUGGAAUUCCUGGUGUAGCGGUGAAAUGCGCAGAUAUCAGGAGGAACACCGGUGGCGAAGGCGGGUCUCUGGCCCGGUACUGACGCUGAGGUGCGAAAGCGUGGGGAGCAAACAGG